RNAcentral lists this ribosomal RNA (320 nucleotides) under uncultured bacterium. RNAcentral describes it as "bacterial SSU rRNA". It matches the Rfam family "Bacterial small subunit ribosomal RNA", at positions 470 to 789 of the family's 1533-position model. The record is from RNAcentral.
UGACGGUAGCCAAGGAGGAAGCCCCGGCUAACUACGUGCCAGCAGCCGCGGUAAUACGUAGGGGGCGAGCGUUGUCCGGAAUUACUGGGUGUAAAGGGAGCGUAGACGGAGAAGCAAGUCUGAUGUGAAAGGCAUGGGCUCAACCUGUGGACUGCAUUGGAAACUGUUUUUCUUGAGUGCCGGAGGGGUAAGCGGAAUUCCUAGUGUAGCGGUGAAAUGCGUAGAUAUUAGGAGGAACACCAGUGGCGAAGGCGGCUUACUGGACGGUAACUGACGUUGAGGCUCGAAAGCGUGGGGAGCAAACAGGAUUAGAUACCCUG